RNAcentral lists this ribosomal RNA (253 nucleotides) under uncultured bacterium. RNAcentral describes it as "partial 16S ribosomal RNA". It matches the Rfam family "Bacterial small subunit ribosomal RNA", at positions 524 to 776 of the family's 1533-position model. The record is from RNAcentral.
UACAUAGGGUGCAAGCGUUAAUCGGAAUUACUGGGCGUAAAGCGUGCGCAGGCGGUUAUGCAAGACAGAUGUGAAAUCCCCGGGCUCAACCUGGGAACUGCAUUUGUGACUGCAUGGCUGGAGUGCGGCAGAGGGGGAUGGAAUUCCGCGUGUAGCAGUGAAAUGCGUAGAUAUGCGGAGGAACACCGAUGGCGAAGGCAAUCCCCUGGGCCUGCACUGACGCUCAUGCACGAAAGCGUGGGGAGCAAACAGG